AUGGAACCUCCUCCUGAGCCCGCGGCUCCGCCUCCCCCUCCUCCUCCUCCGCCGCAUCCGCAUGACACAACACUCACGCUGACGUUGGCGCUGCCCCCUCCUGGGCUCGCGUCCGUGCUGAUCUCGCCGAAGCCGGGCGCACGAAGGCCGAGGCCCGAGGGCGGCGCCAGCCCCAGACCGCGACCGCCGUGCACAGAGUGCGGAAAGCGGUUCCCUUCAUGGAAGGCGCUCUUCGGACACAUGCGAUGCCACCCAGAGCGGCAGUGGCGCGGGAUCACGCCGCCCCCGGCGCACUUCUGCCAGGGCGUUGCAGCCGCACCAGUCGCCCCCGCCGGACAGUUCACCGUGCAGGAGCGCGAGGUCGCUUCCAGCCUCCUUAUGCUCUCCAGUGCGCGUCCGGGCGCUAGCAAGGGCAAGAAGGUCGUUAAUGCUGCUGCUAUUACUCUGGUGCCGGGGCCGGCCAACUGCGACGAACACAACUGCAGCGUAUGUGACCGUGGAUUCGCCAGCGGACAGGCUCUUGGCGGGCAUAAGCGGUGCCACUGGCAUAGGGCCUGCUCGGGGGUGGUGGUGAUCGCCGCUACUGGCAGCAGUGGGUCCCCAAUGUCGACCGAUGAGACGGCGAUUCUAGACCUCAACCUGCCGCCUCCUGGGCCACCUCCGGUGCGGAGGAGCGACCAAGGCAGCAGCCUGAAUGACAUGCUGGAUUUGAAGCUUGGGUACUACGGAUAA
This 732-nucleotide ribosomal RNA is filed under the name Triticum aestivum (bread wheat). RNAcentral's name for it is "partial small subunit ribosomal RNA". Lineage: Eukaryota; Viridiplantae; Streptophyta; Magnoliopsida; Poales; Poaceae. The record is from RNAcentral.